GUCAGUUGUAGUCUCAGCUGUUUAUCCUGGCACUGGCUGUUACAGCUCAACCUCAGCUUCUCUGCAAACACAGACCUGAAUUCUCUUCAAAACUGAUCCAGAAUCAGCCCUGAGCACUGUGACAAACCUCAGCUCUCCUGUUCAACACGUUGACAUUUACAUAUGACUGCAGAAGGUGCAUCUGCCUCCACUCUCCUUCCAACAUAUCCCCAAAAUGGCUGUGUCAGUCUUCCAAGGAAGAGUUCAUACAUUCAGAAAGCAGCAAGGAGCUGGCUGUGACCCUGGAGCCUUGGUGACCCUUUGUCCUGCUGGAAAAGAUGAAGGGUGAAGAUGUGCAGUGGCCCAGAUUAAUUCCCAGUCACUUCCCUGGGAGUGUGCCUGCUAAUCAAAGUGUUUUAUGGCUACUCCUGGGAUCCAAGAGCAGUUACAGGAUUUGGGACCAAAGAAGGCUGGAUGAAAGCUCUUCCCUUGAGCCAGAUGUGUUUUGGCACACCUGCAUCAGUGAUGUGAGAGGGCACUACACGAACACUGAGCUGGAUUUAGACUGAGAAAAGCUUUGUGAUUCUCAAACCUCAGCUGCCUGGGAUGAUUUUAGUAGUUGCUGUGAGGUUCACAGGAAGACUUUAGUCAGCUUUGUUUCUCUGCAGCAUCUUGCUCUUCGUAUGACCAACACCAAAACCCCUGCUUCUAAAAGCCAGAGGUGAUAAUUUGUCACUCCCAAAAGCAUUGCAUCUGCCAUAGGAGGAAUGCUGCACUGGAAUUAAGUUUUGUGGACAAGAUUCACCAGCUGGAGAAAUAGGAGCUCUUGGUUUGAUGCAACCAGUGGUGCUUUGAUUACCUACAGAGCACAGCAUCCACAGGUAGCAGAAACCAAGAAUGGACUACAGCUGCCCAUGCAGCAAGUGCUCCUCUGCCUCCAGCUCACUGGGCUGAGCAUUUCAAGUGAAGGAGCCCUGGUGAGGCUGAAGAUCAUCUCUUCCCCAAGUUAUGACUCCUCACUGUCAUCAUAAAUUAGGAUGCCCUUGCAGUUCUGCUGAACGAGGUGAAUGCCACUCCACACCUCCCUUCUGGUCACCUUCAAACAGGGCCAAGGUGCCAGGCAGGGUGAGGGGCAACCCACCAGGACAUGCAGGUGAACUCUCCAGGUGAAUGGUAUAAUAAAAGCAGGCACUGGCAAUAAUGUGCUCUGACUCCAUGAUUUCAGAAGGCUGAAAAAUUGCUUUAUUAAGCUAUGUUAUAUUACACUAAUACUAUCCUAAAUUACAUACUAAAGAGAUAAUUACAUACAAAAGAGAUUCUAUACCAAAGAAAAACCCAUGACUGUCUGGGACAGCCAGGACACAGCUUUGGGUGAUUGGCUAAUCACUCAAACCAACUUUCACCCGUGUCCAGUUAACAAACCACUUUGGGUAAAUAAUCUCCAUAACCCAU
Zonotrichia albicollis (white-throated sparrow) is the source of this 1431-nucleotide non-coding RNA. Lineage: Eukaryota; Metazoa; Chordata; Aves; Passeriformes; Passerellidae. The record is from RefSeq and is a predicted model, not a curated record.